This 274-nucleotide ribosomal RNA is filed under the name uncultured bacterium. RNAcentral describes it as "partial 16S ribosomal RNA". It matches the Rfam family "Bacterial small subunit ribosomal RNA", at positions 523 to 796 of the family's 1533-position model. The record is from RNAcentral.
AUACGGAGGGUGUAAGCGUUAUUCGGAAUCACUGGGCGUAAAGGACGCGUAGGCGGGUUGGCAAGUCAGAUGUGAAAUCCUACAGCUUAACUGUAGAACUGCAUUUGAAACUGCUAACCUAGAGUAUGGGAGGGGGAGAUGGAAUUAGUGGUGUAGGGGUAAAAUCCGUAGAUAUCACUAGGAAUACCGAAAGCGAAGGCGAUCUCCUGGAACAUAACUGACGCUAAGGCGUGAAAGCGUGGGGAGCAAACAGGAUUAGAUACCCUAGUAGUCC